GGCUCCGGCCCUAUCAGCCUGAAGGCGCCCGAUCUCGUCUGAUCUCGGAAGCUAAGCAGGGUCGGGCCUGGUUAGUAUCUUGGAUGGGAGACCACCUGGGAAUCCCGGGUGCUCGAGGCU
Bison bison bison is the source of this 120-nucleotide ribosomal RNA. The record is from Ensembl. NCBI's taxonomy places the organism in Eukaryota, Metazoa, Chordata, Mammalia, Artiodactyla, Bovidae.